This 122-nucleotide long non-coding RNA is filed under the name Monodelphis domestica (gray short-tailed opossum). Its description in RNAcentral is "lncRNA (ENSMODG00000046430.1)". Lineage: Eukaryota; Metazoa; Chordata; Mammalia; Didelphimorphia; Didelphidae. The record is from RNAcentral.
CAUGUAGACAAGAGGAGCAAUUAGAUGGAGAGACUACAUCCAAAGGUCUCUGCAGGCUAUUUUACAGAUGGAUACAAUAAUUGCUUUUUGUAGUUAAAUAAAAGCAAUGGGAUAGAAAUUCA